This 467-nucleotide ribosomal RNA is filed under the name uncultured bacterium. RNAcentral describes it as "partial 16S ribosomal RNA". It matches the Rfam family "Bacterial small subunit ribosomal RNA", at positions 28 to 506 of the family's 1533-position model. The record is from RNAcentral.
GACGAACGCUGGCGGCGUGCUUAACACAUGCCAGUCGAACGGAAAGGCCCUGCUUUUGUGGGGUGCUCGAGUGGCGAACGGGUGAGUAACACGUGAGUAACCUGCCCUUGACUUUGGGAUAACUUCAGGAAACUGGGGCUAAUACCGGAUAGGAGCUCCUGCUGCAUGGUGGGGGUUGGAAAGUUUCGGCGGUUGGGGAUGGACUCGCGGCUUAUCAACUUGUUGGUGGGGUAGUGGCUUACCAAGGCUUUGACGGGUAGCCGGCCUGAGAGGGUGACCGGCCACAUUGGGACUGAGAUACGGCCCAGACCCCUACGGGGGGCAGCAGGGGGGAAUAUUGCACAAGGGGGGGAAGCCUGAUGCAGAAACGCCGGGUGGGGGAGGACGGCCUUGGGGUUGUAAACCGCUUUCGCCUGUGACGAAGCGUGAGUGGCGGUAAUGGGUAAAGAAGCACCGGCUAACUACGU